This is an RNA transcript of Hemibagrus wyckioides, 4142 nucleotides long. RefSeq lists it as uncharacterized. The transcript has 3 exons. The record is from RefSeq and is a predicted model, not a curated record. NCBI's taxonomy places the organism in Eukaryota, Metazoa, Chordata, Actinopteri, Siluriformes, Bagridae.
GUAGAUAUAUUAUUCGUGUAUAACUUCUAGAAAAUAUUAGUUUUAUUCUCUUGACAUCAGUCACAAUGUUCUAAAUGCAGCAAUUCAUCACUAGUGGUGUUCCUAUCAGAUCCGCAGAGCAUACAGAGUGGGUAACAAAAAUAAAUCUAUCCUUCUACAUAUAAUUAUGUCUAAACAUGAGAUGAAAGAAAAGACCAGUAACGGUUCUAACAAAUGUUUUUCUCUCCAUUAAACCUGAAAUAAUUUGUGAUCAGCCAUGCAGCAGGAUGUAAUUCUGGCUGUUUAUACUAGAUAAAUAUCUUUAAUAGCUUUUACUUUAGUGCUGAUGUUACAUCAAAAAAGCAAAUGAAGGCACUUAUUACACGGUACAUCUAGCUGGAGUUGAAUUCGUCCUCGGAAUAAACACAGAGCUCUAAAUGGACUCCUGUUUAUAUUCUACCUUAAAUACGAGCCUGCCAAUUGAGAUUAAUUGAAUUUAUGGUCCUAUUUCAUGUAUAAAAAUUUUUUUAUUGUGUCUUGUAAAUACACUAUAUUGCCAAAAGUAUUCGCUCACCCAUCCAAAUAAUCAGAAUCAGGUGUCCCAAUUACUUCCAUGGCCACAGGUGUAUAAAAUCAAGCACCUAGGCAUGCAGACUGUUUUUACAAACAUUUGUGAAAGAAUGGGUCGCUCUCAGGAGCUCAGUGAAUUCCAGCGUGGAACUGUGAUAGGAUGCCACCUGUGCAACAAAUCCAGUCGUGAAAUUUCCUCGCUCCUAAAUAUUCCACAGUCAACUGUCAGCUGUAUUAUAAGAACGUGGAAGUGUUUGGGAACGACAGCAACUCAGCCACGAAGUGGUAGGCCACGUAAACUGACGGAGCGGGGUCAGCGGAUGCUGAGGCGCAUAGUGCGAAGAGGUCACCAACUUUCUGCAGAGUCAAUCGCUACAGACCUCCAAACUUCAUGUGGCCUUCAGAUUAGCUCAAGAACAGUGCGCAGAGAGCUUCAUGGAAUGGGUUUCCAUGGCCGAGCAGCUGCAUCCAAGCCAUACAUCACCAAGUGCAAUGCAAAGCGUCGGAUGCAGUGGUGUAAAGCACGCCGCCACUGGACUCUAGAGCAGUGGAGACGCGUUCUCUGGAGUGACAAAUCGCACUUCUCCAUCUGGCAAUCUGAUGGACGAGUCUGGGUUUGGCGGUUGCCAGGAGAACGGUACUUGUCUGACUGCAUUGUGCCAAGUGUAAAGUUUGGUGGAGGGGGGAUUAUGGUGUGGGGUUGUUUUUCAGGAGCUGGGCUUGGCCCCUUAGUUCCAGUGAAAGGAACUCUGAAUGCUUCAGCAUAUCAAGACAUUUUGGACAAUUCCAUGCUCCCAACUUUGUGGGAACAGUUUGGAGCUGGCCCCUUCCUCUUCCAACAUGACUGUGCACCAGUGACCAAAGCAAGGUCCAUAAAGACAUGGAUGACAGAGUCUGGUGUGGAUGAACAUGACUGGCCUGCACAGAGUCCUGACCUCAACCCGAUAGAACACCUUUGGGAUGAAUUAGAGCGGAGACUGAGAGCCAGGCCUUCUCGUCCAACAUCAGUGUGUGACCUCACAAAUGUGCUUCUGGAAGAAUGGUCAAAAAUUCCCAUAAACACACUCCUUAACCUUGUGGACAGCCUUCCCAGAAGAGUUGAAGCUGUUAUAGCUGCAAAGGGUGGACCGACGUCAUAUUGAACCCUAUGGAUUAGGAAUGGGAUGUCACUUAAGUUCAUAUGCGAGUCAAGGCAGGCUCAGCUUAGCACCAUGCAUUUGACUCACUUGACUCAAUUGACUCACGUGCACACGGCCACCAUAGCUCCGAGCCCAGUCAGCAUGAGGCACCGGCUCAAAGGAGGUGAAGCAAGGAAGGUUCCUCUCUAUCAGCAUGACCAAAAUCAGGAUGCGGAGAACGUACCCAAACCUGCUCCAUCAUCUGCCGUCCCAAACGUUCUCACCGUCCCAGAAAAGCGAGGACGCUUCAGGAGCCGUAACGUUAUAUCACUAGUGAGUCAUCUGUGUGUAUGAAGCAGAGGAACUUGUUGAUGUUGUGUGUCACGUGUGUGUAGUCAAAACUAUGGAAAGUGAUCAGUUGUCAAGAAAAAUGACUCAUGCAGUGCAAAGUGAUGUUAUUUUCUUCAUUCAAAGGUCGAGUAAGAUUUUGGCGAAGAAGAGCAAUAGCUGAUCAGAAAAUUGUGUAAGAAUGUCUAUGAAUCAUGUAAGGAGUCGACUCUUAUUUGACUCGCUGAAAAGAAUCAGAACUCCCUUCAGCUCUAUUGGUGUGUUGCUGGUAUAUGAUCAAUAUAGAUUUCUUGAGUGAGGAAAAAAAGGAGCGUGAGGAGCUUUACUAGGAUUUGACUGAGACAGUGGCAUGUGUUGGAGAGUGACGCAGACAGCAUGUGUCUCAUUUGCCAUGAUGAUUUGUGUAAAGGAGGAGGAACCGUCCAGGAACUGCAUUGUUCACACAGCUUCCACAGUGAGUGUAUAGAGCUGUGGUUAUGGAUGAAGCAGACUUGCCCGAUGUGUCAUAAGCACAUGGCCGUGCCCGAGCCUCUGUACUGGACGUCCGCUCAUCUUAAAGUGCCCUAAAGCUUCACUCCCUCAUAUCUAAAUCUGUCAUGAUAAAGAAAUUGGACCGUCCAUCCAGAGAUCAACGGAUUUCUUUAAUAAAGCCUGUUGUUCAACUGUCAGCAAAUUGACCUUCAGCUAGUUAUCAUGGUUAUAAGCCAAACUGCAAACUCUAAAAAUCUGAGAAGCCAUGAACAGGUCCAGACACUUCAGACGUUCCUCAAUUCCACACAGUAGCUGCAGUCCUUUUCUAUUAGUUUCAUAAAAUGGUUAAAAGGUUUAAUCUAAACCUCAGUACUGUUGAUGUCGGCUUAAACGUAAUUGCAAAUUACACCAAAAGGUUAUUUUUUUUCCUGCCGCAAAAGUGUUGAUUCGGAAUAAGGUGAUUGGAAAUAAGGACCCACUUCAGGUUAAUGCACUUCAGCAUUUUCAUAUCCUGCCUGUCGUCUGUGGGAAGCCAUUUAAACUGAAUGCCAAUAAAAUAUCUGUGGGUAAAAGUCUGCCUGCAGGUGCCCAAAUAUUCUGUUGUUCGAAAGAAAAAUGUUAAGGAAAAUCUAAAUUAUGUUGAAUGUUGCUCAAGUCUGUACAACUUACUAAAUGAAUAAAUAUCACAGACUUUUUAAAUGAUGCAUUAUUUUUGUAAACUAGCAUGUAAACAAUUUGGAAUCUACAUUUUUAUGGUUUUAGGUCUGUGAGGAAAUACACCGAAUAGGUAUAACACUGUGAGCACUGAGAGGUGAAAUGAAUAAGACUGAUGAUCUCCUCAUCAUGGCACCUGUUAGUGGGUGGGAUAUAUUAGGCAGCAAGUAAACAUUUUGUCCUCAAAGAUGAUGUGUUAGAAGCAGGAAAAAUGGACAAGCGUAAGGAUUUGAGCGAGUUUGACCAAGGGCCAAAUUGUGAUGGCUAGACCACUGGAUCAGAGCAUCUCCAAAACUGCAGCUCUUGUGGGGUGUUCCCGGUCUGCAGUGGUCAGUAUCUAUCAAAAGUGGUCCAAGGAAGCAACAGUGGUGAACCGGCGACAGGGUCCUGGGCGGCCAAGACUCAUUGGGGAGCGAUUAGAAGGCUGGCCCGUGUGAUCCGAUCCAACAGACGAGCUACUGUUCCUCAAAUCGCUGAAGACGUUAAUACUGGUUCUGACAGAAAGGUGUCAGAAUACACAGUGCAGGAUGGGUCAGGGCUGUUUCGGCAGCACCAACACAAUAUUAGGCAGGUGGUCAUAAUGUUAUGCCUGAUUGGUGUAUUCAGCAGGAAGUGGCUGCAGCUAAAUAAAAUUAUGGUGCAUAUCUUAUUGACCCAUCGUGCCUGAUAUCUCAUCAGAUGGAUUAUAUUUAUAUAAUAAAUCAAAACAGGGAUUUUUUUUUUUUUUAGUUUUAGGAAUUUAGAUGUAAUGUAGCUAUUCACAUCGACUAUUUAGAAUUUUUCCCCCCUAAAUAUAUGAAUUCAAUUAUUAUCCUGUAAACAGAAUAUGUACAAGAAAUUUGGGGACGUUUAUUAUCCUGCACAUACAAAAACAUUUGAGAAUUUUUUUUUUUGUUGCAUGAAUCAUUUUUAUAUUAACAUUAUAAAUGGAAAAAUCUUAAA